GGAGGAGGCAAGCGUUGUUCGGAAUCACUGGGCUUAAAGCGUGCGUAGGCGGGAAAGCAGGUGUCGUGUGAAAUCCCUCGGGCUCAACCGAGGAACUGCUCGGCAAACCGCUUUUCUUGAGGCUAGCAGAGGGACCCGGAACCUUGGGUGGAGCGGUGAAAUGCGUAGAUAUCCAAGGGAACGCCAGUGGCGAAAGCGGGGUCCUGGGCUAGUUCUGACGCUGAGGCACGAAAGCGUGGGUAGCAAACAGGAUUAGAUACCCUGGUAGUCCACGCCGUAAACGAUGCGCACUAGGUAUCAGCGCCUCUGACGGGGUUGGUGCCGCAGCGAAAGCAUUAAGUGCGCCGCCUGGGGAGUACGGCCGCAAGGCUA
Molecule: ribosomal RNA, 372 nt
Filed under: uncultured organism
Description: partial 16S ribosomal RNA
Rfam family: Bacterial small subunit ribosomal RNA
Source: RNAcentral